This is an RNA transcript of Pyrgilauda ruficollis (rufous-necked snowfinch), 3987 nucleotides long. It is a transcript of the gene named ankyrin repeat and SOCS box containing 14, with no coding region annotated. Lineage: Eukaryota; Metazoa; Chordata; Aves; Passeriformes; Passeridae. The transcript has 13 exons. The record is from RefSeq and is a predicted model, not a curated record.
AUGGGCUCUGCAGAGAUUAUUUACAAUCCUGAAAAUGUCACUUUCAACUUAAUAAUCACUUCUUCAAAGGCAGAGAUUUUCCCUCUUUCAGAAGGCCAGCUCUCUUGAAAGACAGAAGUGGGAGUUUUGAUAAGAUCUAACCUGAAGAUUUAACAUCUGCUUCUAGUUAAAAAAAGUGUUUCCCUACAGAAGUGAUUCAUGUGGUGCUGAUUUGCCAUGAAUAAUUCUGUGUAUAUGGUUGAUGGUGAUUCUGAUGAGGAAAUCUCUACCCAGCGAGCUAUUCAGGAAAGCUUACAAGAUAGGCAUAAAUUUGAAACAAGUGGCAGUGCAACAGAGAUUGAAAGUUUCCAGUAUACUGCAAGUAAAGAACAUGGGCAGAUCAUUGCAGCAAUUCGGACAGGCCAAGAGGAGGCCUUGAAGAAGUUGGUGAGGCACAGUUCUGCUUUUGAAGAAGCAGAUCAGCAAGGCUGGCUUCCUGUGCAUGAAGCUGCAGCACAGCUAAAUAAGAACAUCCUUGAAAUAACUUUAAAAGCCUCCCGUGACAUUACGUGGGAACAGUCCACUCUAAAAGGAGAAACACCUCUCUUGGUGGCAGUAAGAAAUUGUUUUGUGGACAAUGUCCACUUUCUCCUGCUCAAUGGCUGCAAUCCCAAUGUUAAAAAUGAAGAGGGAGAUUCUCCUUUAGUUAUAGCAAUUAAACUUGAUUCCUAUGACAUUGCCUCCUUGCUGCUGCGAUCUGGUGCCAGAGUGAAUUUGCGCUGCGUCCAUGAGAGAACUGCUCUGCAUGAGGCAGCCAGACUGGGCAGGAAGGAUCUGGUACAGCUGCUCCUGGAGUCUGGGGCAGAUCCUGACCCCCGCAGUGGAUAUGGGCUCACACCUCUAGCACUGGCUGCACAGAUGGGACAUACAGAAAUUAUGGAGCUCUUACUGCAAAAAGGUGCAGAUGUUCUUUCACAGGCAAUGGACUGUGCUUCUAUAUUGUUUGAAGCAGCAGGAGGAGGAAAUCCAGACUCUGUGAGUCUUUUACUAGAAUAUGGGGCUGAUGCCAAUGUACCAAAGCACUCGGGUCAUUUGCCAAUCCACAGAGCUGCAUAUAGAGGACACUUUCUAGCUCUGAAAUAUUUAGUUCCAGUGACUGAUUUUUCUGCCAUUAAAGAAAGUGGGAUAAGCCCAGUUCACUCAGCAGCAGCAGGAGCACAUCCUCAGUGCCUUGAGUUUCUCCUGCAGUCGGGUUUUGAUGCCAAUUUUAUGCUGGCUCAGAGAGUUCGCAAAGGCUACGACGACCACCGGAAAUCAGCCCUGUACUUCGCUGUUUCCAACGGGGAUAUCUGCUCAACGCAGCUGCUGCUCAGCGCCGGAGCGCUGACAAACCAAGAUCCCAUCAACUGCCUCCAAAUAGCCUUGAGAAUGGGCAACUACGAGUUAAUGAACCUGCUGCUCCGCCACGGGGCCAACGUCAACUACUUCUGCCGCGUGAACACCACGCAUUUCCCCUCAGCUCUGCAGUACGCCCUCAAGGAUGAGGUGAUGCUGAGGAUGCUGCUGAACUACGGCUACGACGUGCACCGCUGCUUCGACUGCCCGCGGGGCAGCGGCGACCACUCCCAGUACGUGACGGACGGCUGGACCUCCACCGUCAUCAAAGACACCAUGUUCUGUGAAGUGAUAACCUUGUCCUGGCUGAAGCAUGUGUCUGGGAAAGUAGUGCGAGUCAUGUUAGAUUAUGUUGAUCAUGUUAAGAUUUGCUGGAAGCUCGAAGCAGUUCUCAAAGAACAGGAACUCUGGCCAGAUAUCCAUUUCAUUUUAACAAAUCCUCGCUCUCUGAAGCACCUUUGCCGCCUGAAGAUCCGGGCGUGCAUGGGCCGGCUGCGUCUCCGCUGUCCUGUCUUCAUGACCUUCCUUCCACUGCCAAACUGCUUGAAAGAUUACAUCCUGUACAAGGAAUAUGAUCUUUAUGGACAGGAAAACUACACAGGGAUCUACAACCUCAACUGUGCAUAAGUAUUUGUCCUGUACUUUGAAGGGAAUUUAAUGUGGCUAAGACUGUUGUGCUUUUUUCUUUUGGGAUUUCCUCUCCUCUGUAUAUUAAGGAAUGCCAGCGCUCUCCCCUCACCCCCUGAAGAAAAUGGUGAGACCCCCCAAAAUGACUACAAACUGUCCUUCUGUGCUGCUCUGGUUGGAUCUGCUGGAAGCUGCUAUCAACCGGCUCUGCUCCUCCAAGUCCUAAGUUCAGAAGGGGGGUUGGGAAAUCAGAAAAAGAGUAUUACCCUUUAAGCCAUCUGCAAUGGACACAGGAUACCAUAAUUAUGAUUUCUACAUGAUCUAUCAAUACUAUCAGUGGACAGCUUUGGACAAAUCUGCAAAAGAAAGUUUUGAGCCUCCAGAUUCACCAAAAGGAUUUGUGCGUCUAUCAAAAAAUGAAAACAUUAAAGCAGGAGUCAGAUUACAGAACCAUUAUGGACAGUGCAGUAGUCUCAUGCUGUGUCAAAUACCAACAUGUAGUGAGUUCACAAACUUGUCAUCUGGAGGAAUAAUGUAUCAUGAACCAUAAGGAGAAGCAAUUCUAUCAGGAGUGAGACAUAGCUUGCUGUAUUUGAGGGUCCACAUUAUGGGGAGAAUACCAGUUAUUAUUGUUCUAUUGCUGCCAUAGAAAGUUUUGCUCACUUUUUUUUUUUUUUUUUAAUAUUUGAAUUAAGACCAAACCAAAACCUUGGUAAUGUUUGAAAAGGAAUAGUUUCAGGGGAUGAAAUUUCAGAGUACAGCUUCAGGAAGCACAGCCAAAAACCAGGCCCUUUCAGUACUCCAUAAGAGCACCCACUUCUCACCACUGUCAAGGUGCUGAAUUACUUACUCAAGAGAAGGCCCUGGGUUUGUUUCAAAUGCAGCUUUCUCAAAACAUCACUGGGCUUUUACUCCUAGAGAGUCAAGAGAAAUGUGGCUAUUUCUGGCUCUCAGAGACAGUAUUACUAUCAGUUACAGAGAAAAGUGAAAAUACUCUAGGCUUCCAAGUCUGCAUUUUUCAAAAAGAGUAAGGGAAUAAGCACAGGAAAUGGGGACAUUUUAUUUAAAAUUUGUAGAGGAAAUUACCCAUUCUCUCUGGCUGAUUGGUAGCUGAAAAGCUAUUGGCAAGGGUUCAAUAUAGUUCAAAUUAGGUUUUUUAUGGGAUUGAUGAAAGUGUUACCUUGAUAAUUAGUGUGCUAAAAACAAAUUUCAGGACUAUGAGAAAAAAAAUUGUUCAGUUACACAUCCUGACUGCCAGUUUAUUUUAUUAAUUAUCAGAAAUGUUUUAACUAAGAGAUAUCUAGUUUGAAGUAAUAAAAUUUUUCUAGAUUGAAGCCAACAUGGCAUUGCUACAAUGUUUAGAUAAUCUGGACUCAAUCAAGAACCAUCUCAUUAAAGGCUGACCUGUGUAAUUAUAGUAAAAGCAAAUUCUUUCUACCAGCAUCUUCUAUUGCUCAGAUUUUUCUUGUUGUUUAAUAUUAAUUGGAACAGUAAAUGCAGAAUCUCACAGGAUCUCUCAAAAGGCAAAAAUAAAAUUUAAAUAUAUGUCAUCAGUAUCAGAAACCAAGAAAGUACUACUUUUUUUAAUAUCAAACAUUACCUAUCUGUACAAACUCUGCAGUUCUUUAUUGGAGGCCAUGGCUAAUUGAAAACAGUGAGCUCAACUCUAUCAUUUCUGCUAUGAAAAAUAUUAUAACUGAUGACAUCACAGAAUAUUCUGAGUUGGAAGGGACCCCCAAGGAUCACUGAGUCCAACUCUCCAGUGAAUGGCCCACACAGGGAUUGAAUCCACAGCCUUGGUGUUACUGGCACCCUGCUCUAGACCAGGCUACCACAGGAGUUCAGCUAAGUCUUAAACUUUCCACUUCCUGCAAUACAGUUCAAGUCUAUUUCAAAUCAGUGUAUCCUGAAGGAUCUAGCUGGCCACCUGCUUAUCCUGCUAUACCAAGCAACAAUAAAAAGAAAACUGUGGAAAAAAGGAAAAAA